UCAAAGGAUGGAUUAAAAAAGAAGCUUCAUGCUUAUGUUCUGCAGUAUGGGAAACACUUGUUAUUACAGCACUGGUGAUACUGAAGAAAUAACAAGGCUCUACAUUGUAGAAAGUUGUGUCAGUAGAUUUACCUCCUGCACUUCUCGUUCAGACAAGACACCAGUCU
Apus apus (common swift) is the source of this 167-nucleotide long non-coding RNA. RefSeq lists it as uncharacterized. Lineage: Eukaryota; Metazoa; Chordata; Aves; Apodiformes; Apodidae. The transcript has 3 exons. The record is from RefSeq and is a predicted model, not a curated record.